GCCAGACUCCUACGGGAGGCAGCAGUGGGGGAUAUUGCACAAUGGGGGAAACCCUGAUGCAGCGACGCCGCGUGGGUGAAGAAGCGCCUCGGCGCGUAAAGCCCUGUCAGCAGGGAAGAAAGAAAUGACGGUACCUGACUAAGAAGCCCCGGCUAACUACGUGCCAGCAGCCGCGGUAAUACGUAGGGGGCAAGCGUUAUCCGGAUUUACUGGGUGUAAAGGGAGCGUAGACGGCGAUGCAAGUCUGAAGUGAAAGGCGGGGGCCCAACCCCCGGACUGCUUUGGAAACUGUAUGGCUGGAGUGCAGGAGAGGUAAGUGGAAUUCCUAGUGUAGCGGUGAAAUGCGUAGAUAUCAGGAGGAACACCGGCGGCGAAGGCGGCCUGCUGGACCGUGACUGACGUUGAGGCUCGAGAGCGUGGGGAGCAAACAGGAUUAGAUACCCCAGUAU
RNAcentral lists this ribosomal RNA (449 nucleotides) under uncultured bacterium. RNAcentral's name for it is "bacterial SSU rRNA". It matches the Rfam family "Bacterial small subunit ribosomal RNA", at positions 330 to 793 of the family's 1533-position model. The record is from RNAcentral.